GGAGACGCUGGCGGCGUGGAUUAGGCAUGCAAGUCGGACGGUAGGGCUUUAUCGUAAGAUAGAGUUUGAGAGUGGCGAACGGGUGAGUAACACGUAGGAAUCUACCCUUAAGACGGGGACAACCCAGGGAAACUUGGGCUAAUACCGGAUGAGAGUGCGAGAGAUUGCAUUUAAAAGGAUGGCGAAAGUUGUCGCUUAGGGAUGAGCCUGCGGUCUAUUAGUUAGUUGGUGAGGUAAGAGCUCACCAAGGCGAUGAUAGAUAGGCGGCCUUAACGGGUGGUCGCCCACACUGGGAUUGAGAUACGGCCCAGACUCCUACGGGAGGCAGCAGUGAGGAAUAUUGGACAAUGGAUGAAAAUCUGAUUCAGCCAUGCCGCGUGCAGGAAGGCGGCCCUAUGGGUUGUAAACUGCUUUUGUACGGGAGCAAUAAGGUCUACGAGUAGAUUGAUGAGAGUACUGUACGAAUAAGCAUCGGCUAACUCCGUG
This 486-nucleotide ribosomal RNA is filed under the name uncultured bacterium. RNAcentral describes it as "bacterial SSU rRNA". It matches the Rfam family "Bacterial small subunit ribosomal RNA", at positions 33 to 507 of the family's 1533-position model. The record is from RNAcentral.